This 427-nucleotide ribosomal RNA is filed under the name Bacillota bacterium. Its description in RNAcentral is "Firmicutes bacterium partial 16S ribosomal RNA". It matches the Rfam family "Bacterial small subunit ribosomal RNA", at positions 355 to 776 of the family's 1533-position model. Lineage: Bacteria; Bacillati; Bacillota. The record is from RNAcentral.
UGGGGAAUUUUUGACAAUGGGCGAAAGCCUGAUCCAGCAAUGCCGUGUGUGAAGAAGGCCUUCGGGUUGUAAAGCACUUUUGUCCGGAAAGAAAUGGCUCUGGUUAAUACCUGGGGUCGAUGACGGUACCAGAAGAAUAAGGACCGGCUAACUACGUGCCAGCAGCCGCGGUAAUACGUAGGGUCCAAGCGUUAAUCGGAAUUACUGGGCGUAAAGCGUGCGCAGGCGGUUGUGCAAGACCGAUGUGAAAUCCCCGAGCUUAACUUGGGAAUUGCAAUGGUGACUGCACAGCUAGAGUGUGUCAGAGGGGGGUAGAAUUCCACGUGUAGCAGUGGAAUGCGUAGAGAUGUGGAGGAAUACCGAUGGCGAAGGCAGCCCCCUGAGAUAACACUGACGCUCAUGCACGAAAGCGUGGGGAGCAAACAGG